UGGGGUAUGGCUCAGUGGUAGAGCCUUUGUCUAGCAUAUGUAAAGGCCCUGAGUUUGAUCCCCAGUACCCCUC
Molecule: transfer RNA, 73 nt
Filed under: Marmota monax (woodchuck)
Lineage: Eukaryota; Metazoa; Chordata; Mammalia; Rodentia; Sciuridae
Rfam family: tRNA
About the family: Transfer RNA (tRNA) molecules are approximately 80 nucleotides in length.
Source: Rfam by way of RNAcentral